This 301-nucleotide ribosomal RNA is filed under the name uncultured bacterium. RNAcentral's name for it is "partial 16S ribosomal RNA". It matches the Rfam family "Bacterial small subunit ribosomal RNA", at positions 509 to 809 of the family's 1533-position model. The record is from RNAcentral.
CAGUCGCCGCGGGAAUACGUAGGUGGCAAGCGUUGUCCGGAAUUAUUGGGCGUAAAGGGCUCGCAGGCGGUUUCUUAAGUCUGAUGUGAAAGCCCCCGGCCCAACCGGGGAGGGUCAUUGGAAACUGGGAAACUUGAGUGCAGAAGAGGAGAGUGGAAUUCCACGUGUAGCGGUGAAAUGCGUAGAGAUGUGGAGGAACACCAGUGGCGAAGGCGACUUUCUGGACGAAAACUGACGCUGAGGCGCGAAAGCCAGGGGAGCGAACGGGAUUAGAUACCCGUGUAGUCCCUGUCUCUUAUAA